GCCUUCCGCCGGCGGCGUGGCGGGAGGACGGAGCUGAGGAAGAAGACGGCCACGAUGGCCGCCAAUGCCAUGGCCACGGACACCGUUGCCGCGAGCUCCAUCGCUGGAAAUGGAAGCCUUGGACUUGGAGAGUGUGGUACGAUGAGGUGGUGUUUCAUGGUGACACAUAUAUAAAGAGGGAAUUCCUUUUUUUUCAGAUUUACUACUCUUCAAAUGCUUGAUUUUUAGAUAUCUCUCAAUCACCAACAUUAUACCAGAAAUUGAAUUGGUGAUUGGAAUUUCAGGUUAGGGUUUGGGAGUUUGGGGUGGGGGAUUUACCUGUGACCCUCGGGUCUAGAGGAAGCUUCAGGGAGGCUCGCCGGCUGGCGGUGGAGGUUGGAGAG
Molecule: long non-coding RNA, 383 nt
Filed under: Setaria italica (foxtail millet)
Lineage: Eukaryota; Viridiplantae; Streptophyta; Magnoliopsida; Poales; Poaceae
Description: long non-coding RNA (SITA_LNC000884)
Source: RNAcentral